Oxyura jamaicensis (ruddy duck) is the source of this 927-nucleotide long non-coding RNA. RefSeq lists it as uncharacterized. Lineage: Eukaryota; Metazoa; Chordata; Aves; Anseriformes; Anatidae. The transcript is spliced from 3 exons. The record is from RefSeq and is a predicted model, not a curated record.
AAGUCUUAACUGGAAGGUACUAACUAGUGGCACUAUAGUUACACUUCAGUCAGACCGUGACUCCCUUGCUGCAUUGUUCAAGGAGAAAAAGCUCCAACAUUAUUUGAAUGUAGAUAGAUGCUACCAUACGAGGUUGACUCUACUCUUACUGCUAAGCAAUGGAUUAUUAUGACUUCUAAUUUAAAGCAUUCUGAAGUUCUGAAGUGUAGGCCUGAAGAUUUAUCAGUAUAUGCAAGAGAUGCAUUAAGGGUCAUGCUGGGAUUUCUGACUAUGUUUUACAGAAAAAUAAACCUUAGUAAAUCAUUUUUACAUAGGGUUGAUUUACCUAGAGUGUUAUGUUGUCCUGUAUACACUCUCCUUUAUUCACAUGCAGAAUUAGUCCUCAUUGCUUGUGAAGAUCCCAUUAUACAUCUAUAUGUGAAUAUCACAAUAAGUCCAAGAGUUCAGUCUUGCUUGCAGUCAUGUGAUUCUUCCAAAUCAAGUCCACAGGAAAAAAUUCCAGAGGCAUAGUUGGGAUCUAUUACAUUAGUCAAAUGGAAACUGCAGGCAAAGUUAAUUCAGGCUGAGCGUAGAACUUGCACAGGAAAGAAAUGACAACUGCGUCAUUAGUUCCUGAUCUAUCAAGUCACAUGAUGCACAUCAUUAAUGGAUGUCAGCAUACCAGAUAAUGUCAAAAGAAGUUUUGAUUAAGAAUGUAUCAUCUGAUACUUUUUAUGUUAUUAACAGCCAUUGUGGUUUGUAAGAUCAAGUGAUAUUUUGUACACUAUGGCUUGCUAGGUUAAGGUUUUCUUUUACAUAGCUCCUCUAAAAUGGCAUAUUUCAGAAGGUAUGUAAACAAAUUGCUCCUUUUCCCAUCAAUAAACUGUAACAUAGAAGAGUCUGUGUGUGAAUUAUACAAAGAAAUUACUAAGCAGCUCUGAUCUCACU